Molecule: ribosomal RNA, 246 nt
Filed under: Triticum aestivum (bread wheat)
Lineage: Eukaryota; Viridiplantae; Streptophyta; Magnoliopsida; Poales; Poaceae
Description: partial small subunit ribosomal RNA
Source: RNAcentral
AUGGAUUGUACUCUUAAAACUGUCUUCUGGAAUGUCUGCGGGUUAAAUUGCCGGGCCAAACGUACCGCGGUCUGCUCCGUCAUUGCGUCGGUCUCUCCCAACAUAGUGUGCCUCCAAGAAACAAAGUUGGAUUCUUCCUCGUUGUCGACUGUCAUCGAGACCCUUGGUCCCUAUUUUGAUGAUUUCUUCUUUCUCCCUGCGAUUGACACACGCGGUGGCAUUCUCCUAGCUUGGAAUCGCAACUAA